Molecule: ribosomal RNA, 197 nt
Filed under: uncultured Klebsiella sp.
Lineage: Bacteria; Pseudomonadati; Pseudomonadota; Gammaproteobacteria; Enterobacterales; Enterobacteriaceae
Description: partial 16S ribosomal RNA
Rfam family: Bacterial small subunit ribosomal RNA
Source: RNAcentral
ACUCCUACGGGAGGCAGCAGUGGGGAAUAUUGCACAAUGGGCGCAAGCCUGAUGCAGCCAUGCCGCGUGUGUGAAGAAGGCCUUCGGGUUGUAAAGCACUUUCAGCGGGGAGGAAGGCGGUGAGGUUAAUAACCUCACCGAUUGACGUUACCCGCAGAAGAAGCACCGGCUAACUCCGUGCCAGCAGCCGCGGUAAU